Molecule: ribosomal RNA, 253 nt
Filed under: uncultured bacterium
Lineage: Bacteria
Description: partial 16S ribosomal RNA
Rfam family: Bacterial small subunit ribosomal RNA
Source: RNAcentral
UACGUAGGGGGCGAGCGUUGUCCGGAGUUACUGGGCGUAAAGGGCGUGCAGGCGGUGCGGUAAGUUUAGCGUGACAGUCUCCGGCUUAACUGGAGAAGGCCGCUGAAAACUGCUGGACUUGAGGGCCAGAGAGGGACAUAGAAUUCCGGGUGGAGUGGUGAAAUGCGUAGAGAUCCGGAGGAACACCAAAGGCGAAGGCAGUGUCCUGGGGAGUACCUGACGCUCAGGUGCGAAAGCCAGGGGAGCGAACGGG